GACGUAGGGCGCGAGCGUUGUCCGGAUUUAUUGGGCGUAAAGGGCGCGUAGGCGGCGCGGUAUGUCACCUGUGAAAUCUCCUGGCUCAACUGGGAGCUUGCAGGCGAAACUGUGGUGCUGGAGUAUGGGAGAGGUGCGUGGAAUUCCUGGUGUAGCGGUGAAAUGCGCAGAUAUCAGGAGGAACACCGGUGGUGUAGACGGCUUACUGGACCAUAACUGACGCUGAGACACGAAAGCGUGGGUAGCAAACAGG
Molecule: ribosomal RNA, 253 nt
Filed under: uncultured bacterium
Lineage: Bacteria
Description: partial 16S ribosomal RNA
Rfam family: Bacterial small subunit ribosomal RNA
Source: RNAcentral